Molecule: RNA transcript, 6041 nt
Organism: Rhipicephalus sanguineus (brown dog tick)
Lineage: Eukaryota; Metazoa; Arthropoda; Arachnida; Ixodida; Ixodidae
Gene: cnir
Gene name: protein cornichon homolog 4
Exons: 6
Source: RefSeq, a predicted model, not a curated record
CAACUGCGUUUGAGAUUACGCAAGCUUUUGAACUUGGCCGCUAGGCGUUUCUCGCAGACGAAGUGGUGGGCGCGUCGUGCUUCUUUUCCACGGCCGAUGUCGAGCUCCUGAAAGUCGCACGUCUUUUGUUCAGCGAAGAAAAAGUUUCUCGAGUUGCUUCUUAUCUCCGCCCCGCGCGGAGAUAGCCUGCUCGACGCCGAGACGAUGGUCAACGACGUGGUUCUGUUUGUGUUUUCGCUAUUCGACACGGGAGCCCUGCUAUUCCUUACCGUUUACGUCGUGAUUACGCUGUCCGAUUUAGAAUGCGACUACCUCAACGCUCAGCAAUGUUGUUCCAAGCUGAACGGGUGGGUCCUGCCAGAGGUGAUCGCACAGGCUGUCCUGACUGUUCUGCUAUUCUUCGUCAACUUCCAUUGGAUUUUGUUUGGUCUCAACGUCCCCAUGGUCGUGUGGCAGGUUUACAAGUACCUUUCGGUACCUGACUGCAACUUCGGGGUGUACGACCCGACGGAGAUCCAUAACCGGGGCAACCUCAAGCGGCACCUUCGGGACUCCAUGAUCCGGCUGGCAUUUUACCUCAUCUUCUUCUUCAUCUAUCUAUAUUGCAUGAUUAUCGCCUUGCUGACGUCAAACCCCGACACAAGGCGGGAGACCUACUAGGAGGUGUGAACCAGCUCUCCUCUUCCUUUCAACGUCUCCCUCAUGCAAAUGGAGUGCCUGUCCCGCGGACCGCGUCAGAGGCACUCCCAUUUGAAGAGCCCGAGUCGACGAGAUCUUGCCGCGAACAAACUUGCGGCUCGUGCGCGCACGCACGAGGUGUUGGCGGACGUCGCUACGCUCGAGGAACUCGAGGCAACUGGUCAUUUCAACCAUUGACAAUACUCUCUAGUAGUUUUGUUUCUGUUCCGAGUUGCAGCAUUUUUUUUUUUUCUUGUCAAUUUGCUAGGUAUACCUCUUCGUCUUAAGCAGUGCCCUUCCUCGUGCCAUUGGAAAUGUGGUGGCGUCUUUUGUGGCUUCAGUGUGGCAAAUUAAAAACCUCAGUUCUGGAGCUUGAAAUUUUAAGUGUGAUGGCAUCGCCUCCUCUGAGAUUCCUGAAAUGAAUGCAUUCUUUAAAGCGAAGCUGUUCUUAGUUGACGCUUUGCCAUCUCUUGGCAUCACGAGGGCAUGUCAUGCACGACAGCAGUGCUUGCAACGCUGCUUGCGUUCCAGUGCAGUCGCAAUAGCAAUGCACAUUUUGGCGAGUGGAAUGGGCCAUGGCUGCAGUGGAACGCUACCGUAGCGUUCCAGCUUGGCCUAGAAUGAGCACAUCAUUGCCUCGUAGCUUAACAUAGAGUGUCAAAUAAAGAGCAAUGAUACAAUGCAGAAACACAUACAAAAGACUUGCAAAACAUAGAAAUACUUAGAAGGACUUGCAAAAAAAAGAACAUAAAUAUCAGCUUCGCGGUUUCGAUGGCUUUCACGGAGUGGAGCUUGCUGCAUUUUUUUUGUCAUGGCAGUUCCGUGAUUUUUGGUAGUAUGCCAUUUUUAACUAAGAUGACUUAACGUUAUUGCAUCGGGAAGACUACGUAAUAAUUGAGAAUGAGCAUGAUGUCCAUGCAAUCGUGCUGCAAACAUAUUCAUCGUCUCAGCUGUCAUUUCGAUAAUCCUGUGACCAACCUCGAAUCAAAAGGGCAGCUGUAGUUACUAAACCUGUACUGUUAUAAUCAUGGAACUGUUUUAUAAGAGCAAACAUGACCUUUUCGAUGAGUUCUGACUUCAGUUUGGCUGUUCGUUUCUCGACAGUACCUGGAAAAUUAAGAACAUACACUUUGUAACCAAGUUUGUUUACUGCUAGCACUUUUUUUAAAGUUUCGAUAUGCAUCGGUUAGCUCACUUCUAGGCUACACACGCACGACUUUGUUGCCAAAGGUGUAUCAGCUAUAGAAGCCAAACAUAGAUUGAGUGAUAUUGUGCUGUACGAGCUCUCAGUAGCCUGGUUGUUUACCUACUGGCAAACAGCCGGGCUUUGUGGAGCACGUUACCAGCUUGCAGCAUUUUCGGUGAUAUUUUUGUUGAUUGCAUCAUCAGCGACAUGGUUUAUCUUCUAAUGAGCUCUCCUUUGCUUGUGCUAGCUCAAUUUCUUGUAACUAUCCCUUAAAAUGUAAUCCCAUUGUCUUCUUUUUUUGGCAUGUUGUACCAUUGUUGCUUGUAUGGUACUACUUAUCGCUUCCCCAAGAGAUGAAUUAUGCCAAUGGCUUUGACUAAGGCUUGACGUGGCUAUUCCCUCAUUCAGAUUGCUUACAGUUAAAGGCAGUUAAUGACUCUUUGAGCAUUUGCAAUGUCAUGAUUAACUAGUCUGAACGAGCUCGUCGCAUGUUAACACAAACUAGUGCAAGGUAUGAAAAACAAGGUUUUUGUUUUCUGUGUUUACACUGUCGGCAUUCCUUUGGUUCUAUAUCGGUUAUAAGUGCACCGCAGCUCUGUCCCUAGCGGGUGGAAAUGUAACGUGUAAGCUUAGUUUUUACGCCUGAAACGGCGUAAAGCCAAGAAUGUGAAGUAGUUUACAUAUUGUUGUGCGUUGUGUAGAUGAGUGAGUUAUGACUGAAAGUAGCUAUAAUUGUCAACAUAUGACUGUUAACAGUUCCAUCCAACAUGAGCUGUCUUUGGGUGUCAUGUGUGAGUGUGCGCUGUUCGAAAGUUCUUGCCAACUACUUGUGAAUGAACUGUCUGAAAGUGGAAUCGCCCGUAGCAUCACCGGGGGUUGUGCCAUCACUGGUGUUUUUUUUGUUUUUAACUGGAAGUGUGCCGAACGGAUGUGUUUUUUUUUAGUGUUUUGGUGUUAGGUAUGCCAGCUUUUGUAGCAGUAUGUUCAAAUGAAAAAGAAAGAAGUAGUGGUUACUGAUAGGGCAUACAAAUUCUGUUUAGUGUGUGCCUGCCUGGCCAUAUUUGAGUGUUAAAGCAGUUGUAGCUUCCGGUACGCCCUAGCACUAAUACUUCUUAAACACACUUAUUUACAUACUAAGUACUUCUUUCACCCAUGAGCACCUUUAUGACUACGUAUUGUACCUUCUUCCUAUUGUUGUGUUGCUAGGGAAGUCUGGUUCAAACUGUUUUGAUGAGAUGCAAGAACAUUUCACAGUUCAUUUCGCCAACACCACAUUUAAGUACACUAUCACCUGCCCACUUCAUUCGAAAUAAAUUGGAAUUGCAUGCUUGCCAGAAUCAAAUUUGAGAUUUUAUUGACAAUGGACAGUGUCCCUGUUAGUUCUUUUCAAUCGAGGUACCUGUUUUUCGAAGGGCAACACCACUGGUGCUUCGCCAGUUCAAUCCUAAAUGUGAUCUCAAGCAAUAUAUAAACUGUUGAAUCUUGCGUCCAAUCAAAACUCGAGCACAAAGGUAGCCAAGGUUUAGCCAACUCGAGUGCGAAGUUUAGCCAGAGCCAUUGAAACCCUGACUACCUUACUUGAAUACGGCUUUGAAGUAAUGUCAAGUACAAUGCAGUCGGCCAACACGUUUUGUGCACAAGUGAUCAAGCAUCACGUACAGUAUAACCCCCGACUCCAAUGCUGGUUCGUGUUAUAUGUUUGCCGUACAUACUGCGUUGAACUGCUGCAAUAUGUACAACAUGUAAGUACAUAGCCUGCAUGUGUAGUGGUGGUUGUACUCUCCACUCGUGUAACACUUCCUGCUAGUCUCUGCAUGAAAGUUCUGCUGUACUUUUGUGUUCGGUGGAUUAAGCUUGCAGUCUACACUUCCUGAACUUCGAGUCGUGCUUGUGCUCCAGUAGUCAGGCUGCCAACAUUGAUAGUUGCGUGCAGUGAAAGUGUGGCUGCGUUUGUGUCUACAUAGUUGGUAUGAGAUUGCAUUCAUUUGGAUUGGCUUAGCCUUUCAAUUGACUUUGGGGCUUCUGAACUUCUAGGUCAAUAUUGAAACUUGGCAAAGUUCAGUCUUAGUGUCUCCAUCGUUCUGAAUUGCACCACAGCGUUAGUCAGUUCAGGCAGGCUUCUGUAGCUGUUCCCAAACGUCUUUCUUAUGAAUGGUUCACUUGCGACAUGUUUGCACAUGAAAACUUGCUAUACAGCUGGUACUAUAAGCAUUCACUAUCUUUUUUCUUUUUUUUUUUCUUAAUUACUGCUGCCUCUAUACUGCUUAUCAGUUACUUCUUUUAGACUGUGAAACUGUCUGUAGAGCCAGCUUUGUUUGUAAAGCUGUAUUGCUGCUUUGCCCGUUUCAUUGAUUAUGCACACAUGCAGGCGUCUUUGCACUGUUCUGAAGCUUACACGUGACAAGGCCGAUGAUUGAACUAGGGUGUGCCGUUACGUACGUUGUUUCUCCACAUGACUGGUCUGCAUUCUUUAGCAGUUCUUAAUCUUCGGUUUCAAUGGUGUCAUUAGUCAUACUGAGCAAGUGGUUAAGACAUUACAGUGGCAUGCAAGUUGCUGCAGCAGUUUUGAAAAAAUGGUGAAAGAAAAAAAAGACCUGCAAUGAAUCGGCCCCAUUUGUUGUCUCUGUUGCCUCUUAAAGAACCCUUCUCUUUAUUGUAGCAAUGCAGCAGUUCAUAGACUAGUUGCAUGAUAGCCUGCUCUCCCGAUAUGUAUGGGACUACAUUUCUCUGGCUACGCAGGUAUGGCUGUGUUGUCAACUGCGUACAAGUGGCCAUAUUGGUCAUGUUUCAGUGCUCUGAAUUUCGCUUAGGUGUAGCGCAUUGGCCACUUUUUUCCUGCCGGUAUGCACUAGUGCCAGGCACCUGUCGGUGUUGGCACCUUUUGCUGUACUAGUACCCACCUGCCAGUGGCGCACUUGUGGCUCCAGCUUUUAUCACAUCUUGCCAAUUUCACGUGGAAGCUAACGUAGUUGUGCUAUUUGUACGCCGAUGUGCAGAAACAUUAAGUUGCUCCAAGUUCAUGGGAUGUAAAAUGGAGCCUGUGCUCAUGCACGUGUCACAGAGCGCAGAACUCAAAAGGCAAGAACACAUGAUGUUGUACUGCAGCUCAAUACAGGAGGAAAGGUUGAUUGCAAAUGUGUGUGUAUAAGUGCAUAUUACACGAAGGUGGUUGGGCAUGACUUUCAGAUUCUCUCUCUCGUUCACUGAUGUAUGGUCACAUUGGUUUCAGAAAUCUUAAACUGCAAUUUUUGUCGUCCUUGUCUACGACAUGACCUGAGCUAGUUCACAUCAAUGGAAACAUAUUGUUGAUAAUAUCUGGUCAUACAUCUUUCAUCUUGUGCUUGCAACCAUAUCCAAAACACUCAUUUCAUGGUUGGUGAACAGUAUUGCUAUUUCAGAUAAAGGGCUUAUUCAUGGUGACUUAACAGCUCGCAACAGCUAAAACCAUAGUUGACAUGUAAGUUGGUAUAAGGUUAGGUUCAUUCUACGCUUCAGUAGCAUUGUCGGUAACAGCCAGUUUUGAGCUUGGCCGAUGCAGAGCUGGGCGUGGGUUAUGUUGGUGAUUGAUAAACGGCGAGUGCGAAUCAAAAUACAGACUUGGAGUGGAAAUGGACGUGGCAAGCACUGUCAAUACCAAAUGUACCUUGACAGCUUCUUGUACUAGUACUACACUCAAACCUCGAUAUAACGAACUCGGAUAUAACGAAUUAUCGGUUAUAACAAAGUAAAUGAAUAGCCUUGGUAAUAGACACGGUGGUUCGAAUAUACGCUUAGAACGAAUUUUCGGAUAUAGCGAAGUUAGUUUCGUGUCAAAUGUGACUUUUUUUUAUUAUGAGGUUUAAGUGUAGUCGUAACUUCGCGUGGAAGAAAGGGUGCUUAACCCACGGCCAUGUUUUCCUUAAAGGUGCAGUCGACAUGGCCUGUGCUUGGUGUAGCUCAAGCUGUGCAAAUGCAGUGGUUGUCGCUGUGAUUUUGUGCAUGUUUUAAACGUUCUCUGUGCCGUUUAGUGUAAAAAACUUUGCAUGUCUUCGGGUCAUAGCCUUCCGUUGUCUCUUGUUCGUACAUCUGUAUGUUAUGACUCCCCUUAUGUAUGCUUCCCAGUGUUGUUUGUGUGCUGAUGGUUUUGUAGGGCUGCUCUCCACAGUGUGUUUCACUGAAAAUAAACUUGUUUCCUUUU